AGGCUUAACACAUGCAAGUCGAGCGCCCCGCAAGGGGAGCGGCAGACGGGUGAGUAACGCGUGGGAACGUACCCUUUACUACGGAAUAACGCAGGGAAACUUGUGCUAAUACCGUAUGUGCCCUUUGGGGGAAAGAUUUAUCGGUAAAGGAUCGGCCCGCGUUGGAUUAGCUAGUUGGUGGGGUAAAGGCCUACCAAGGCGACGAUCCAUAGCUGGUCUGAGAGGAUGAUCAGCCACAUUGGGACUGAGACACGGCCCAAACUCCUACGGGAGGCAGCAGUGGGGAAUAUUGGACAAUGGGCGCAAGCCUGAUCCAGCCAUGCCGCGUGAGUGAUGAAGGCCCUAGGGUUGUAAAGCUCUUUCACCGGAGAAGAUAAUGACGGUAUCCGGAGAAGAAGCCCCGGCUAACUUCGUGCCAGCAGCCGCGGUAAUACGAAGGGGGCUAGCGUUGUUCGGAAUUACUGGGCGUAAAGCGCACGUAGGCGGAUCGAUCAGUCAGGGGUGAAAUCCCAGGGCU
RNAcentral lists this ribosomal RNA (517 nucleotides) under Rhizobium etli. Its description in RNAcentral is "bacterial SSU rRNA". It matches the Rfam family "Bacterial small subunit ribosomal RNA", at positions 44 to 609 of the family's 1533-position model. The record is from RNAcentral. Lineage: Bacteria; Pseudomonadati; Pseudomonadota; Alphaproteobacteria; Hyphomicrobiales; Rhizobiaceae.